Mytilus californianus (California mussel) is the source of this 511-nucleotide long non-coding RNA. RefSeq lists it as uncharacterized. The record is from RefSeq and is a predicted model, not a curated record. The transcript has 3 exons. NCBI's taxonomy places the organism in Eukaryota, Metazoa, Mollusca, Bivalvia, Mytilida, Mytilidae.
UUCAUCAUUCAGAAAUAGGUGGUGCUACAGAUUCAACUACAAAAAAUAUGUCGACCAACAGUAUUACCAUCUCACCAUAUACUACACUGGGGACAGCACAAAACAACAUCAGUUUAACUAUAAAUAUUAAUGUUGGUCAACCCAUUGAACGAAAUAAUCAAACUGCAAGUAGAGAUUUUAAUCAAAAUGAAAAUGGUCGUUUCAUAUGGAAGUCUUCAGAUCCCGGAGAUCCACGCAAUAUGGACAUUGAACUACCAAAUGAAGACUUUGGAAAACAGGAAACAAAUAAGUGAAGAUGGACGUCAUGGCUUGUGUCAAUUUUCCUAUGAACAUAUUCCUUAAAUUUCAGAUACUUGCCACUGUACGUAAAACAAACAACAAUCGAUCAAUCGUGCAUAUUAAAAACACAUUGGUUAAACUGUAUUUGUUUCUCUCCUUUGAUUAACUAUUUGUCUCUAACUGUAACUGAUACUAAUUUAUGGCCAAACUAAAUAAAUGUAUAUGUAUGACA